RNAcentral lists this ribosomal RNA (696 nucleotides) under uncultured bacterium. RNAcentral describes it as "bacterial SSU rRNA". It matches the Rfam family "Bacterial small subunit ribosomal RNA", at positions 32 to 715 of the family's 1533-position model. The record is from RNAcentral.
AACGCUAGCUACAGGCUUAACACAUGCAAGUCGAGGGGAAACGAUAUUGGAAGCUUGCUUCCGAUAGGCGUCGACCGGCGCACGGGUGAGUAACGCGUAUCCAACCUGCCCACCACUUGGGGAUAACCUUGCGAAAGUAAGACUAAUACCCAAUGAUAUCUCUAGAAGACAUCUGAAGGAGAUUAAAGAUUUAUCGGUGAUGGAUGGGGAUGCGUCUGAUUAGCUUGUUGGCGGGGUAACGGCCCACCAAGGCAACGAUCAGUAGGGGUUCUGAGAGGAAGGUCCCCCACAUUGGAACUGAGACACGGUCCAAACUCCUACGGGAGGCAGCAGUGAGGAAUAUUGGUCAAUGGACGAGAGUCUGAACCAGCCAAGUAGCGUGCAGGAUGACGGCCCUAUGGGUUGUAAACUGCUUUUAUAAGGGAAUAAAGUGAGUCUCGUGAGACUUUUUGCAUGUACCUUAUGAAUAAGGACCGGCUAAUUCCGUGCCAGCAGCCGCGGUAAUACGGAAGGUCCGGGCGUUAUCCGGAUUUAUUGGGUUUAAAGGGAGCGUAGGCCGGAGAUUAAGCGUGUUGUGAAAUGUAGACGCUCAACGUCUGCACUGCAGCGCGAACUGGUUUCCUUGAGUACGCACAAAGUGGGCGGAAUUCGUGGUGUAGCGGUGAAAUGCUUAGAUAUCACGAAGAACUCCGAUUG